RNAcentral lists this ribosomal RNA (253 nucleotides) under uncultured bacterium. RNAcentral describes it as "partial 16S ribosomal RNA". It matches the Rfam family "Bacterial small subunit ribosomal RNA", at positions 524 to 776 of the family's 1533-position model. The record is from RNAcentral.
UACGUAGGGAGCAAGCGUUGUCCGGAAUCAUUGGGCGUAAAGCGCGCGUAGGUGGCCCCGUAAGUCCGCUGUGAAAGUCAAAGGCUCAACCUUUGAAAGCCGGUGGAUACUGUGGGACUAGAGUACGGAAGAGGCGAGUGGAAUUCCUGGUGUAGCGGUGAAAUGCGCAGAUAUCAGGAGGAACACCAAUGGCGAAGGCAGCUCGCUGGGACGGUACUGACGCUGAGGCGCGAAAGCGUGGGGAGCAAACAGG